UGCGUAGGUGGUUUCUUGAGUCAGAGGUGAAAGGCUACGGCUCAACCGUAGUAAGCCUUUGAAACUGGGAAACUUGAGUGUAGGAGAGGAGAGUGGAAUUCCUAGUGUAGCGGUGAAAUGCGUAGAUAUUAGGAGGAACACCAGUUGCGAAGGCGGCUCUCUGGACUGUAACUGACACUGAGGCACGAAAGCGUGGGGAGCAAACA
This 206-nucleotide ribosomal RNA is filed under the name uncultured bacterium. RNAcentral describes it as "partial 16S ribosomal RNA". It matches the Rfam family "Bacterial small subunit ribosomal RNA", at positions 568 to 774 of the family's 1533-position model. The record is from RNAcentral.